CCCUCGUGGCCUUCAAGGUGUACUCCCGCCACGAUGUGGAGGCGAUGUUCUCGAUCGGCAUGGAAGGCGAAGCCGACUAAACGGGAACACGAAGCAGGCUCCAAGCGCUCAACUUCCUAGUAGGUGCCCCAUUUGCGACUUUCGUCCUGAAGGACUGAUGCUUCCUAUGCGCUCCCCCGCCCUCGAUCGCUCCUUGCGGCUGAUCGCGCUCUCCGCUCUCGCAGGUCUCGUCGUCACUGCCGUAGGCCCGAUCGGCGCGUCCGCUGCCCCCGUGUGUCACGACGUCCCC
Molecule: unclassified non-coding RNA, 289 nt
Filed under: plant metagenome
Description: partial contains 5.8S ribosomal RNA, internal transcribed spacer 2, and large subunit ribosomal RNA
Source: RNAcentral